AGCCCUUUCGAUGAUCGAUGCUGAUCGAACUCCUUCGAUCGAUGUCUAUUGAUUCUUUGAAUGCUCUGGAUCAUUAGCAGACGUGCUUGAGAGGAUGUUGAAGAUCUUUCUGAAAUUUGGUUGGCUCACGACACUCGUAGCUCACCUUCUCACUUCCCAAACUCCAGGCUGAAACCCUGAAGAACUCACUAAAACCCUACACACACU
Molecule: long non-coding RNA, 207 nt
Filed under: Elaeis guineensis (African oil palm)
Lineage: Eukaryota; Viridiplantae; Streptophyta; Magnoliopsida; Arecales; Arecaceae
Description: long non-coding RNA (EGUI_LNC077572)
Source: RNAcentral